Molecule: ribosomal RNA, 253 nt
Filed under: uncultured bacterium
Lineage: Bacteria
Description: partial 16S ribosomal RNA
Rfam family: Bacterial small subunit ribosomal RNA
Source: RNAcentral
GACGGAGGAUGCAAGCGUUAUCCGGAAUUAUUGGGCGUAAAGCGUCCGUAGGUGGCCUAUCAAGUCUGCUGUUAAAUCCCAGGGCUCAACUCUGGAUCAGCAGUGGAAACUGAUAAGCUAGAGUGCGGUAGGGGCAGAGGGAAUUCCCGGUGUAGCGGUGAAAUGCGUAGAUAUCAAGAGGAACACCUGAGGUGAAGACGGGUUGCUGGGCUGACACUGACGCUGAGGCGCGAAAGCCAGGGGAGCAAACGGG